AUUACAGAGUUGCAAAACUCCCCAAACCAUUGUGAACCUUACCUUCUACCGUUGCUUCGGCGGGCGGGCCACAGCGCCCCCCCGGGCCCCCUCGGGGGCGCCCGCCGGAGGAUAACCAAACUCUUGAUAUUCGUGGCCUCUCUGAGUCUUCUGUACUGAAUAAGUCAAAACUUUCAACAACGGAUCUCUUGGUUCUGGCAUCGAUGAAGAACGCAGCGAAAUGCGAUAAGUAAUGUGAAUUGCAGAAUUCAGUGAAUCAUCGAAUCUUUGAACGCACAUUGCGCCCGCCAGUAUUCUGGCGGGCAUGCCUGUUCGAGCGUCAUUUCAACCAUCAAGCCCCCGGCUUGUGUUGGGGACCUGCGGCUGCCCGCAGGCCCUGAAAACCAGUGGCGGGCUCGCUGUCACACCGAGCGCAGUAGCAACAUCUCGCUCAGGGCGUGCUGCGGGUUCCGGCCGUUAAAGGCCUUUUACACCCAAGGUUGACCUCGGAUCAGGUAGGAAGACCCGCUGAACUUAAGCAUAUCAAUAAGCGGAGGAAAAGAAACCAACAGGGAUUGCCCUAGUAACGGCGAGUGAAGCGGCAACAGCUCAAAUUUGAAAUCUGGCUUCGGCCCGAGUUGUAAUUUGCAGAGGAAGCUUUAGGCGCGGCACCUCCUGAGUCCCCUGGAACGGGGCGCCACAGAGGGUGAGAGCCCCGUAUAGUUGGAUGCCUAGCCUGUGUAAAGCUCCUUCGACGAGUCGAGUAGUUUGGGAAUGCUGCUCAAAAUGGGAGGUAAAUUUCUUCUAAAGCUAAAUACCGGCCAGAGACCGAUAGCGCACAAGUAGAGUGAUCGAAAGAUGAAAAGCACUUUGAAAAGAGGGUUAAAUAGCACGUGAAAUUGUUGAAAGGGAAGCGCUUGUGACCAGACUUGCGCCGGGCUGAUCAUCCGGU
This is a ribosomal RNA of 931 nucleotides. The stretch from base 481 to 931 matches the Rfam family "Eukaryotic large subunit ribosomal RNA", at positions 1 to 457 of the family's 3401-position model.